UCGUGCGAGAAAGGGGCUUCGGCCCUGAGUAAAGCGGCGAACGGGUGAGUAUCGCGUGGGAAACCUGCCUUCAAGUGGGGGAUAACACUCCUAACGGGGUGCUAAUACCGCAUGACACCCUUGGAUCGCAUGGUCCGAGUGUCAAAGGUGGCCUCUACUUGUAAGCUACCGCUUGAAGAUGGUCCCGCGUCCGAUUAGCUAAUUGGCGGGGUAACGGCCCACCAAGGCGACGAUCGGUAGCUGGUCUGAGAGGAUGGUCAGCCACACUGGGACUGAGAUACGGCCCAGACUCCUACGGGAGGCAGCAGUCGAGAGGCUUCGGCAAUGGGGGAAACCCUGACCGAGCGACGCCGCGUGAGGGAUGAAGCUCUUCGGGGUGUAAACCUCUUUUCUGGGGGAAGAAACCUAUGGGGUCGAAUAGGCCUCAUGGCUGACGGUACCCCAGGAAUAAGCUCCGGCUAACUCCGUGCCAGCAGCCGCGGUAAUACGGGGGGAGCAAACGUUGUUCGGAAUCACUGGGCGUAAAGGGCGCGCAGGCGGUCCGGUAAGUGGUGUGUGAAAUGCCCUGGCUCAACCAGGGAACUGCGCUCCAAACUGCCGGACUUGAGGUCAGUAGAGGAAGCUGGAAUUCCAGGUGUAGCGGUGAAAUGCGUAGAUAUCUGGAGGAACACCGUUGGCGAAGGCGAGCUUCUGGGCUGUACCUGACGCUGAGGCGCGAAAGCUGGGGGAGCAAACAGGAUUAGAUACCCUGGUAGUCCCAGCCGUAAACUGUGAACACUAGGUGUGGGGAGUAUCGACCCUCUCCGUGCCGAAGCUAACGCAUUAAGUGUUCCGCCUGGGGAGUACGGUCGCAAGGCUGAAACUUAAAUGAAUUGACGG
This 879-nucleotide ribosomal RNA is filed under the name uncultured bacterium. RNAcentral's name for it is "bacterial SSU rRNA". It matches the Rfam family "Bacterial small subunit ribosomal RNA", at positions 62 to 916 of the family's 1533-position model. The record is from RNAcentral.